AUCUUCGACUAUAUCUAGUUGUCGCUGUCCAGUCUCAUCAGAUCUUGAAAGCUAAGCAAGGCCCGGUCAGUAUUUGGAUGGGAGACAGCUGGAAAUACCGUGAGCCACAAUG
RNAcentral lists this ribosomal RNA (112 nucleotides) under Periophthalmus magnuspinnatus. Lineage: Eukaryota; Metazoa; Chordata; Actinopteri; Gobiiformes; Gobiidae. The record is from RNAcentral.